RNAcentral lists this long non-coding RNA (2012 nucleotides) under Mus musculus (house mouse). RNAcentral's name for it is "long non-coding RNA chr19:55330626-55332638". The record is from RNAcentral. Lineage: Eukaryota; Metazoa; Chordata; Mammalia; Rodentia; Muridae.
ACAUCCUCAUAAAUCCUGCUGUUCAGUGACAAGUGAGGGUGGGCGCCGAACACCGGUAAGGAGAGCUCUGAACUCACACAUCUCAUUUUUAUGAAAUACCUUUGAAGACACCUUUUCUUUUGAGUACCUAGACCAAAGAAACUACCCCUCAACCCAGCAACAAAUGUACCAUUUAGGAGAGCCAGCUGCCUUAACAGAGCGCCACAAUCUGGAGGCCAUAAACUGUACGGCAAGGUCACUGCGUUUGCUGUAAGACUUCUCUCUUGUCUGGGGCUGGCUGCUUCCUGUCCCUGCAGUCUCCUGUACACACUCGUGGCCACCUUGGGACCUAACACUUCUUAGCAGACCUAUUGGACAACACAGCCACAUGCUGUGUUGUGGGAACCGGGGCUUCAGCAUGGAAACCCGAGGAGGUAGAGCUCAACCAGACCACCAAGGCUCAUUUCCAUCUUUGCUUGUUAGUCUUUAGAUGCUAAGUUAUGUCACUUCCAUAGCUUACUAUAUCACGUAACCCAAUGUCUAAUCUUCUCUGUUUCCUUUACUUUAGCAAUCUAGAAAUUAUAUUUUUGGAUGAGUAUUCCUUUUUCAAUUAUAUUUUCUGCUACAAUGGAAAAAUGGAAUCGGGAACUGUGAACUUAACCUUCAUUUCCUAGGCUGUGGCUGAGUUGUCAUGUUCACGUUUAUGUCUCAUGCUGCAGCUUCUUCUGUGGUGUUUGAGGACAUCUUUCCCCAGUGCUUUUUUGCUUUUUAUUGAUUUAUUUAGUUGCUGCACACACACACACACACACACACACACACACACACACACACACACAGAGGAAUGGGUUGGUCUUGCUAUGCACCUCUAGUUCAUCUGGAACUCACUAUGUCGGCCAGGCUAUCCUCAAGUGAACAGAUAAAGGCCUGCCUCUGCCUCCCAGUGCUAGGAUUACAGGUGAGCUCUACCAUGCUUGGCAUUGAAACAUUUCUAAAUAAUGUGCAGAGUAUUUUGUCUUCAUUUAUGUCUGUGUACCACAUCCAUGUCAGGGGCCAGCAGAGGAAGCAGAGGACAUGGGCUGCCCUAGAACUGGAGUUACAGGCAUGCAACUGAGCUAGCUGCCAUGAGGGUUCUGGGAACCUGGAUCCUCUGGAAGAUGCCAGUGCUCUUAGCCACUGAACUCCUAAUCAGUCCUUUUUGUUUUUUAAGAUUAAAAUAUUUUCUAAUUAAUGCCCAGGAAUUUCAGGUAUUAGUAGGAUUCACCGUGGCAUUUCCAUAUGUGCACAUGCUCUCUGCAUAGGUCAAGUCCAUCUACUCUCUGUCCCUGACUCCUCCCCUGCAACACUCCUCUUGUCCAUAAAUAGCCCCUCUCCAGUUCCCUUCCCUUCUCUGGCCAUCACUGGUCUGCUGGGGUUUCUGUAGCGAGCGAGAGCAUGCUCUGUUUCGUCUUUCUGCUCCUCUACUACUGCUAGCUUCUAUGAUUGACAGUUUGUACACUUCUCUAGCUUAUGUUGUUUCAUUUUGUGGGUGUGGAUUAUGGGGUUCAACACCCACGAGAGCCAAGGAGGCUCAGGUGGACUACAGAGUUUCUUCAACGAGUCUUCUUUAGUGCUACUGUGUGGUAAGCCCUGUCCUUAGUUCCCAAAUAGAGCUGGAAUUGGAAUCAUCAUCAUGUUAGUACUCUUGUGCAAUUGGAACUCUAACAUGGAACUUGGAGGGGGCUCCAGAGGAGCUGAGGAUACACAUGUAUUCUCUUGCUGCUCUAAUUUGUUUUUAGUAUUGGCACGAGCUUCCCUAGGGCUUAAAGAACAAACACAUGUGUGAAGUAGUUGGUUCAGGCUAGCAAUUGAUAGCAGCUCAGUCCCUGGGAGAGAGAUGAACAUGGAGUUAGUCUACAAAGACCAUGAUGUCAGAAGAGUCAAAGAAAGUGAACCAGCGAAAGGCGAAAAAUACUGAGCCGAGGGUUGUUGGGUCCCCCCCCCCCCACAAAUUUAAGAUUGUAUCUUAACAAAACAUAAAUAAAUAAACACCUUUG